UAUGGCCAUGUCACAUUGAAACACCGAUUCCCGUAUGAUCACCGAAGUUAAGCAACUUCGUCUUCUCAGUAUCUAGAUGGGUAACCGCUUAAGAAUACCAGGUGCCGUU
Molecule: non-coding RNA, 109 nt
Organism: Acanthosepion pharaonis
Lineage: Eukaryota; Metazoa; Mollusca; Cephalopoda; Sepiida; Sepiidae
Source: the annotation of a GenBank genome assembly